This 204-nucleotide unclassified non-coding RNA is filed under the name Aliivibrio wodanis. RNAcentral's name for it is "putative sRNA". The record is from RNAcentral. Lineage: Bacteria; Pseudomonadati; Pseudomonadota; Gammaproteobacteria; Vibrionales; Vibrionaceae.
GUAAUGUCCCUUAUUAUAUAUAAAUUCAUAAAAAAUCGCAUAAUGCGAUACGCUUAGAGCUUGAAUUAUUAAAUGCGACGACAAAGCUAAGGGAAAGACUGAGAAUAACAACAUUACGAAGAAAUACUAAGGCUUACUUUACUUGAUGUUCAUUAACAACUCUGAGCAACAGAGCGAGAUGAAUAAUACCGCAGUGCUAAAAAU